Molecule: ribosomal RNA, 523 nt
Filed under: uncultured fungus
Lineage: Eukaryota; Fungi
Description: eukaryotic LSU rRNA
Rfam family: 5.8S ribosomal RNA (bases 160-313)
Source: RNAcentral
AGCGGAACUGCGGGAAGGAUCAUUAAAGAAUUCGGGUGCCUAGCGCGCCCCCAUUCUCACCCUUUGUAUACCUAACUCUGUUGCUUCGGCGGGCAUAGCGCCCGUCAGAGGACCUAAACUCUUGAAUUAGUGAUGUCUGAGUAAAUAUAUAAUAUUUAAAACUUUCAACAACGGAUCUCUUGGUUAGAUCAUCGAUGAAGAACGCAGCGAAAUGCGAUAAGUAAUGUGAAUUGCAGAAUUCAGUGAAUCAUCGAAUCUUUGAACGCACAUUGCGCUCCCUGGUAUUCCGGGGAGCAUGCCUGUUCGAGCGUCAUUACAACCCUCACGCUCUGCGUGGUAUUGGGCGCGCCCCUCUGGGCCCGCCUCAAAAUCAGUGGCGGCUCCCCCAAGUCCCUAAGCAUAGUACUACUCGCUGCUUCUGGAAACUUGGGAAGAGCCUGCUAGCAACCCCCACACUUUUAAAGGUUGACCUCGGAUCAGGUAGGGAUACCCGCUGAACUUAAGCAUAUCAAUAAGCGGAGGA